GGUGACCAGUGUGUGUACUCUGUGUGUUCAUCAUCGUCUCCACACUCUGGACAUGUUUGAAGAUCGUAAGAAGCCGUGAGAACGGAAACACAGGAGACGUCACGCUGUACCCAGAACAAGAACAGCCAACGAUACGAUGCUGCUUCAUCACACACCAGUGUAAAGGCUGUAAUCCUCCUCUUCUGCUUUAUUGUCCUAAGGACGGACGGACGGACGGACGGACAGACAGCUGCUUUUAGUUUCUGUCGUGAGAUAAAGAGGUCAUGACAAACAUCUCCUAACACCAUGAUGUUCGUAUCAGAGUCUCGGUGUGAAGGUCUGGAUCCAGAGAACUUCUCCUGUAUCUUCUGACGUCACUGAGCGUAAAGUUUGUUCUCCUGCACUGCGCUGUUAUUAUCGCUACAGCAGAACAUCCUGUUUAUGGAGCUUUAUUUGUACAGAAUGUGGUUUUACUGCUAUAAUUUUACGAGACUGUGUUAUUGUUCUGAUAACUGAUGGAUUAAAAGCAGUUUUUUCCAGCAGA
This is a long non-coding RNA of Tachysurus fulvidraco (yellow catfish), 523 nucleotides long. RefSeq lists it as uncharacterized. The transcript is spliced from 3 exons. Lineage: Eukaryota; Metazoa; Chordata; Actinopteri; Siluriformes; Bagridae. The record is from RefSeq and is a predicted model, not a curated record.